Molecule: ribosomal RNA, 373 nt
Filed under: uncultured organism
Description: bacterial SSU rRNA
Rfam family: Bacterial small subunit ribosomal RNA
Source: RNAcentral
CAGAGGGUGCGAGCGUUGUUCGGAAUUACUGGGCGUAAAGCGCGCGCAGGCGGCUUCUUAAGUCCGUCGGUCAAAUGCCGGGGCUCAACCCCGAGCGUGCCGAGGAUACUGGGAGGCUGGAGACAUGUAGAGGCAAGCGGAAUUCCGGGUGUAGCGGUGGAAUGCGUAGAGAUCCGGAAGAACACCGGAGGCGAAGGCGGCUUGCUGGGCAUGGUCUGACGCUGAGGCGCGAAAGCGUGGGGAGCGAACAGGAUUAGAUACCCUGGUAGUCCGCGCCGUAAACGAUGGGCACUAGACGCGGGGUGGAUCGACCCAUUCCGUGUCGAAGCUAACGCGAUAAGUGCCCCGCCUGGGGAGUACGGCCGCAAGGCUG